UGGGGAAUUUUGGACAAUGGGCGCAAGCCUGAUCCAGCAAUGCCGCGUGCAGGAUGAAGGCCUUCGGGUUGUAAAGCUCUUUCAGGUGGAAAGAAAACGCAUAGGUUAAUACCUUGUGCGGAUGACGGUACCAUCAGAAGAAGCACCGGCUAACUACGUGCCAGCAGCCGCGGUAAUACGUAGGGUGCGAGCGUUAAUCGGAAUUACUGGGCGUAAAGCGUGCGCAGGCGGUUUAGUAAGACAGGCGUGAAAUCCCCGGGCUCAACCUGGGAACUGCGCUUGUGACUGCUAAGCUAGAGUACGGCAGAGGGGGGUGGAAUUCCACGUGUAGCAGUGAAAUGCGUAGAGAUGUGGAGGAACACCAAUGGCGAAGGCAGCCCCCUGGGUCGAUACUGACGCUCAUGCACGAAAGCGUGGGGAGCAAACA
This 427-nucleotide ribosomal RNA is filed under the name uncultured bacterium. RNAcentral describes it as "bacterial SSU rRNA". It matches the Rfam family "Bacterial small subunit ribosomal RNA", at positions 355 to 774 of the family's 1533-position model. The record is from RNAcentral.